This 56-nucleotide small RNA is filed under the name Staphylococcus aureus. RNAcentral's name for it is "Antisense". Lineage: Bacteria; Bacillati; Bacillota; Bacilli; Caryophanales; Staphylococcaceae. The record is from RNAcentral.
AGAAAUAUUUGUAGGUGUACCAAGUGAACGUUAUCCUGCACACUUAGAAAGCCGAU